GAUGAACGCUGGCGGCGUGCCUAAUACAUGCAAGUCGAGCGAACAGAUAAGGAGCUUGCUCCUUUGACGUUAGCGGCGGACGGGUGAGUAACACGUGGGUAACCUACCUAUAAGACUGGAAUAACUCCGGGAAACCGGGGCUAAUGCCGGAUAACAUUUAGAACCGCAUGGUUCUAAAGUGAAAGAUGGUUUUGCUAUCACUUAUAGAUGGACCCGCGCCGUAUUAGCUAGUUGGUAAGGUAACGGCUUACCAAGGCAACGAUACGUAGCCGACCUGAGAGGGUGAUCGGCCACACUGGAACUGAGACACGGUCCAGACUCCUACGGGAGGCAGCAGUAGGGGAUCUUCCGCAAUGGGCGAAAGCCUGACGGAGCAACGCCGCGUGAGUGAUGAAGGUCUUCGGAUCGUAAAACUCUGUUAUUAGGGAAGAACAAAUGUGUAAGUAACUGUGCACGUCUUGACGGUACCUAAUCAGAAAGCCACGGCUAACUACGUG
This 497-nucleotide ribosomal RNA is filed under the name uncultured bacterium. Its description in RNAcentral is "partial 16S ribosomal RNA". It matches the Rfam family "Bacterial small subunit ribosomal RNA", at positions 28 to 507 of the family's 1533-position model. The record is from RNAcentral.